RNAcentral lists this small RNA (91 nucleotides) under Klebsiella pneumoniae. Its description in RNAcentral is "partial RtT sRNA". It matches the Rfam family "RtT RNA", at positions 40 to 130 of the family's 130-position model. From Rfam's summary of the family: This family represents a bacterial cis-regulatory element known as RtT RNA. The record is from RNAcentral. Lineage: Bacteria; Pseudomonadati; Pseudomonadota; Gammaproteobacteria; Enterobacterales; Enterobacteriaceae.
GGUUCGAGUCGAACGCAGUGAGACAACGGAGCCGCUUGCGGCGACGGCCCGCAGGGGGAGGCGAAGCCGAGUCAUCCUGCACGACCCACCA